GCCGUCGUAGCGCGAUGGUAGCGCGUCGCUUUCCUAAGUUGUAGUGUAGGCGAAGGUUGCGAGUUCGAUCCUCGUCGUCGGUA
This is a non-coding RNA of Armillaria luteobubalina, 83 nucleotides long. Lineage: Eukaryota; Fungi; Basidiomycota; Agaricomycetes; Agaricales; Physalacriaceae. The record is from the annotation of a GenBank genome assembly.